GCUAGGGAUGUAGCCCAGUGGUAGAGCACUUGCUUAGCAUGUGAGACCCUGGGUUCAAUUCCCAGUCCUGCA
This 72-nucleotide transfer RNA is filed under the name Marmota monax (woodchuck). Its description in RNAcentral is "tRNA.Ala". It matches the Rfam family "tRNA". From Rfam's summary of the family: Transfer RNA (tRNA) molecules are approximately 80 nucleotides in length. Their secondary structure includes four short double-helical elements and three loops (D, anti-codon, and T loops). Lineage: Eukaryota; Metazoa; Chordata; Mammalia; Rodentia; Sciuridae. The record is from RNAcentral.